This 1373-nucleotide ribosomal RNA is filed under the name uncultured bacterium. Its description in RNAcentral is "bacterial SSU rRNA". It matches the Rfam family "Bacterial small subunit ribosomal RNA", at positions 28 to 1381 of the family's 1533-position model. The record is from RNAcentral.
GAUGAACGCUGGCGGCGUGCCUAAUACAUGCAAGUCGAGCGAACGGACGAGAAGCUUGCUUCUCUGAUGUUAGCGGCGGACGGGUGAGUAACACGUGGAUAACCUACCUAUAAGACUGGGAUAACUUCGGGAAACCGGAGCUAAUACCGGAUAAUAUUUUGAACCGCAUGGUUCAAAAGUGAAAGACGGUCUUGCUGUCACUUAUAGAUGGAUCCGCGCUGCAUUAGCUAGUUGGUAAGGUAACGGCUUACCAAGGCAACGAUGCAUAGCCGACCUGAGAGGGUGAUCGGCCACACUGGAACUGAGACACGGUCCAGACUCCUACGGGAGGCAGCAGUAGGGAAUCUUCCGCAAUGGGCGAAAGCCUGACGGAGCAACGCCGCGUGAGUGACGAAGGUCUUCGGAUCGUAAAACUCUGUUAUUAGGGAAGAACAUAUGUGUAAGUAACUGUGCACAUCAUGACGGUACCUAAUCAGAAAGCCACGGCUAACUACGUGCCAGCAGCCGCGGUAAUACGUAGGUGGCAAGCGUUAUCCGGAAUUAUUGGGCGUAAAGCGCGCGUAGGCGGUUUUUUAAGUCUGAUGUGAAAGCCCACGGCUCAACCCGUGGAGGGUCAUUGGAAACUGGAAAACUUGAGUGCAGAAGAGGAAAGUGGAAUUCCAUGUGUAGCGGUGAAAUGCGCAGAGAUAUGGAGGAACACCAGUGGCGAAGGCGACUUUCUGGUCUGUAACUGACGCUGAUGUGCGAAAGCGUGGGGAUCAAACAGGAUUAGAUACCCUGGUAGUCCACGCCGUAAACGAUGAGUGCUAAGUGUUAGGGGGUUUCCGCCCCUUAGUGCUGCAGCUAACGCAUUAAGCACUCCGCCUGGGGAGUACGACCGCAAGGUUGAAACUCAAAGGAAUUGACGGGGACCCGCACAAGCGGUGGAGCAUGUGGUUUAAUUCGAAGCAACGCGAAGAACCUUACCAAAUCUUGACAUCCUUUGACAACUCUAGAGAUAGAGCCUUCCCCUUCGGGGGACAAAGUGACAGGUGGUGCAUGGUUGUCGUCAGCUCGUGUCGUGAGAUGUUGGGUUAAGUCCCGCAACGAGCGCAACCCUUAAGCUUAGUUGCCAUCAUUAAGUUGGGCACUCUAAGUUGACUGCCGGUGACAAACCGGAGGAAGGUGGGGAUGACGUCAAAUCAUCAUGCCCCUUAUGAUUUGGGCUACACACGUGCUACAAUGGACAAUACAAAGGGCAGCGAAACCGCGAGGUCAAGCAAAUCCCAUAAAGUUGUUCUCAGUUCGGAUUGUAGUCUGCAACUCGACUACAUGAAGCUGGAAUCGCUAGUAAUCGUAGAUCAGCAUGCUACGGUGAAUACGUUCCCGGGUCU